AUACGUAGGGUGCGAGCGUUGUCCGGAAUUAUUGGGCGUAAAGGGCUCGUAGGCGGUUUGUCACGUCGGGAGUGAAAUCUCAGGGCUCAACCCUGAGCCUGCUUCCGAUACGGGCAGACUAGAGGUAUGCAGGGGAGAACGGAAUUCCUGGUGUAGCGGUGAAAUGCGCAGAUAUCAGGAGGAACACCGGUGGCGAAGGCGGUUCUCUGGGCAUUACCUGACGCUGAGGAGCGAAAGUGUGGGGAGCGAACAGGAUUAGAUACCCUGGUAGUCCACACCGUAAACGGUGGGCGCUAGGUGUGGGACUCAUUCCACGAGUUCCGUGCCGCAGCUAACGCAUUAAGCGCCCCGCCUGGGGAGUACGGCCGCAAGGCUAAA
This 378-nucleotide ribosomal RNA is filed under the name uncultured bacterium. RNAcentral describes it as "bacterial SSU rRNA". It matches the Rfam family "Bacterial small subunit ribosomal RNA", at positions 523 to 898 of the family's 1533-position model. The record is from RNAcentral.